This 447-nucleotide ribosomal RNA is filed under the name uncultured bacterium. RNAcentral's name for it is "bacterial SSU rRNA". It matches the Rfam family "Bacterial small subunit ribosomal RNA", at positions 355 to 825 of the family's 1533-position model. The record is from RNAcentral.
UGGGGAAUCUUGGACAAUGGGCGCAAGCCUGAUCCAGCCAUGCCGCGUGAGUGAUGAAGGCCUUAGGGUUGUAAAACUCUUUCGCCGAGGACGAUAAUGACGGUACUCGGAGAAGAAGCUCCGGCUAACUUCGUGCCAGCAGCCGCGGUAAUACGAAGGGGGCUAGCGUUGUUCGGAUUUACUGGGCGUAAAGCGCGUGUAGGCGGGUCGUUAAGUUGGGGGUGAAAUCCCGAGGCUCAACCUCGGAACUGCCUCCAAAACUGGCGACCUGGAGCAAGAUAGAGGCGAGUGGAAUUCCGAGUGUAGAGGUGAAAUUCGUAGAUAUUGGGAAGAACACCAGUGGCGAAGGCGGCUAACUGGUCCGGUACUGACGCUGAGGUGCGAAAGCGUGGGGAGCAAACAGGAUUAGAUACCCCAGUAGUCCCUGAGCGGGCUGGCAAGGCGCAU